Long non-coding RNA from Cercocebus atys (sooty mangabey), 1462 nucleotides. RefSeq lists it as uncharacterized. NCBI's taxonomy places the organism in Eukaryota, Metazoa, Chordata, Mammalia, Primates, Cercopithecidae. The record is from RefSeq and is a predicted model, not a curated record. The transcript is spliced from 2 exons.
CGGCAAAGAGAGAGGGAGAGAGGAAGGGAGAGAGGGAGAAGGCGGGGAGGGAGAGGGGAGAGAGAGGCGCUCACACAAGACACAGCAUCAGAGAGAGGGUCUGGAGACAGAACGGAGAGACACUCAGGCCCAGCAGGGCAAAUGUGGCCAAUCCCCUAUUGCACCCCAACCACUGGACUGGUCACCUGGCCAGGCACUGCCCUUGGGGCCACUGCCCCUGCUGGCCAUCGACGCACGGGCCGCCCUGAGAGAUAAGAGCCCACAGAACCUCCUUGGCUUCCCCGUGGGUGAUAGCUCGGCCUGUGUGGGCCUGAUAGGCCGUGGCCACUGCAGCGGUUGGCCAGCAGCCGCGUAUCAGCCCAUCACCGCCCACUGCACAGAAAUUCAUAUCUGCGGGAGCCGAUAGGGCACCGCCCGGUCCAGAGGAUGCACACAGCACAGGAAGCUCGGGGGUGCGCCCCAGCCCCAAACCACGGCCGGCCUCAGGGGCCCAGCCCUUCCCGGCGCCAGGCUCCAUCCCCCAGGGCCUCCUUCGUCUGGAGAACAGGAGGAUGAUCUAACCCCUCUCAACACUGCAGGGGUGGACAGGGACCCGUGGGGUGACGAUCAAACCACUGUCUAUGAACUCCAGGCCCAAACCCAGCUCCACCACCUCCCAGCCGCAUGAUGGUGGACGUGUGCUGCAUCCCCGGGCUGGGGCUCCUCCUCCAGAGACUGGGGUCACCAUCUCGGCCCCUCUUGGGGCUGGUGUGAGGACCGCCCAGCACCCCCUGUCUGCCCAGUGGCCAACUGGGUCCCACAGGUGUGUCCUGGGCCUCCCCCCACCUGGUGUCCCUGAGGAGAAGGCACGCAGCCAGCACGUUUCUGCCACGGCGCCUGGGCCCCCCACCAUCUUUGGGUCCCAGGUGGGUAAGCCACAUCGUCUGCUGUGCUGGAUGCCCGGUCCCCCCUUCCUGGGGAACAGCAGGAGGAGCCCAUGAGGACCGGUGGCCACGAGGCCCCAGCAUUGCCUUGGGCAGCCCCACAGCCCGUGCAGGUGUGACUCAGCUUCCCCUUGGGGCCGGGUCAUCCUCCUGGCUGUGGCUGCCCAGGCCCACCCCUCUCUCUGUGGUCCCAGCUGUCCCGUUGCGGGAAGGGGCUGUAUUGAACGAGAGGCCUCUCCACGCACGUGCCACUGCCUACUUGCACCAGCGGGCCCGUGGACCCAUCUCUCACUCUCCCUUGCUGCUGGGACCUCGCUGACCCCUUUCUAUCUUAGCCCCCGGGAAGGAAUGGGGUCCCUCUGCCUCAGCGAAGCCUUCCCUGCUCCUCAGGAUGGCGAGCGCCUCACCACACAUCUUCUCUCCACAGAUGGGGGCCCUGCUGGUGUCAUUACGGCCGCUUGCGCGCUCUGCGAUGGCCAUCUGCUCCCGGCUGUAUGCCUGGCACACAGCAGGCACUCAAUAAAUGUUUGCUGCAUCUG